Long non-coding RNA from Hevea brasiliensis (rubber tree), 634 nucleotides. RefSeq lists it as uncharacterized. The transcript is spliced from 2 exons. The record is from RefSeq and is a predicted model, not a curated record. Lineage: Eukaryota; Viridiplantae; Streptophyta; Magnoliopsida; Malpighiales; Euphorbiaceae.
GCUUUCAAGUGAGAAAAGUACUUGCCCAAAUCGAACCCCUGUGGGGUGAGGCCAGAGCGAGUAAUUUUCACCCUAAUCCGCCUGGUUGCCUUUCUUAAAUUUGGAAAAUGAAGAGGGUCAUAAAACACUAACGGGUAGUUGUUAGAUCAGAGAUUGAAAAACCCUUCUUCUAGGGUUUUAACACUGCCAAAGCUUCAGCUGUGCCUGUCUCUUUUCGUCAGAGGAGCGUGGUUAGUGAUGCUUCAAAGCCUUCAUCCGUUCCUUUUCUUCAGCCUAAGAAUCCAAUAUCGCAUCAAUAACUUUCUGAAGUGGCAUGCAUGCAAGCAAACUAAGAGAACAAAAGGCUAGUGAUAAACAUGUUCUGGGAUCUGUUUUCCCAGUCAUAUCAGUGAUUCAGCAACAAUUUGUCUCAAGGAGUAUCUUCUAGGGCACUUGAAUUUCUUUUACUUCAGUGAUUUUCUGUUGUUUUUAUAAUUCAGGUAUUGUAAUGGUCAUGGGUUUCUUUCAUAUAGAUUCUAUACUAAUAUGUAACUUCAAGUACCUGUGAGUCAUAGCUGAAACAAAUUAUUCUUAUAAACUUUUUGGUGUAUAUAUAUUUUGAGUAUCCAGUGGUGAGCAGUUUUUUGCCUAUUUA